This 497-nucleotide ribosomal RNA is filed under the name uncultured bacterium. RNAcentral describes it as "partial 16S ribosomal RNA". It matches the Rfam family "Bacterial small subunit ribosomal RNA", at positions 28 to 507 of the family's 1533-position model. The record is from RNAcentral.
GAUGAACGCUGGCGGCGUGCCUAAUACAUGCAAGUCGAGCGAACAGACGAGGAGCUUGCUCCUUUGACGUUAGCGGCGGACGGGUGAGUAACACGUGGGUAACCUACCUAUAAGACUGGGAUAACUUCGGGAAACCGGAGCUAAUACCGGAUAAUAUUUCGAACCGCAUGGUUCGAUAGUGAAAGAUGGCUUUGCUAUCACUUAUAGAUGGACCUGCGCCGUAUUAGCUAGUUGGUAAGGUAACGGCUUACCAAGGCAACGAUACGUAGCCGACCUGAGAGGGUGAUCGGCCACACUGGAACUGAGACACGGUCAAGACUCCUACGGGAGGCAGCAGUAGGGAAUCUGCCGCAAUGGGCGAAAGCCUGACGGAGCAACGCCGCGUGAGUGAUGAAGGUCUUCGGAUCGUAAAACUCUGUUAUUAGGGAAGAACAAACGUGUAAGGAACUGUGCACGUCUUGACGGUACCUAAUCAGAAAGCCACGGCUAACUACGUG